This is a small nucleolar RNA of Ornithorhynchus anatinus (platypus), 139 nucleotides long. Lineage: Eukaryota; Metazoa; Chordata; Mammalia; Monotremata; Ornithorhynchidae. The record is from RefSeq and is a predicted model, not a curated record.
CCCCUCUCAGGGUCACACCUGGAGAGUUUUCAGUACUCCACCAGUCUUGGCUACAGGAGGGAGAGUCAAGCCAGAGGCCUGUCCAUUCCAUUCCUAGCUUGGGCAGUGGCUAGCGAAUGGAAGGCAAUCUGCUACAAGA